GGGCAGUUAGCUCAGUUGGUAGAGCGCUUCGUUUACACCGAAGAUGUCACAGGUUCAAGUCCUGUACUGCCCACCA
RNAcentral lists this transfer RNA (76 nucleotides) under Deltaproteobacteria bacterium RIFCSPHIGHO2_02_FULL_40_11. RNAcentral's name for it is "tRNA-Val". It matches the Rfam family "tRNA". From Rfam's summary of the family: Transfer RNA (tRNA) molecules are approximately 80 nucleotides in length. Their secondary structure includes four short double-helical elements and three loops (D, anti-codon, and T loops). Lineage: Bacteria; Deltaproteobacteria. The record is from RNAcentral.